Carya illinoinensis is the source of this 623-nucleotide long non-coding RNA. RefSeq lists it as uncharacterized. The transcript has 2 exons. NCBI's taxonomy places the organism in Eukaryota, Viridiplantae, Streptophyta, Magnoliopsida, Fagales, Juglandaceae. The record is from RefSeq and is a predicted model, not a curated record.
UUAACUGGAAUUUGUAUAACUGAACUCUUUAUCUAGUGGAUUGAGUCUCUUGAUUUGGCUAAAGAGUGAUAGUUUUACCUUUGAGAAAUUCUUUAAAUUCAUCCCCAAAUCUUGUGUUCAGUUACAUAUUGCUUAAGACAUUCUUUUAUAGACAACUCCAUGGUAGUUAUUGUGCCAACCAAUUCACAUGCACAACAAACUAUCACAUGCACAAUAAGGAAAACAGAGGACCCAAAAGGAGUUCGAGGCAUCAUUAGCAGUCAAAUCUGGAUUUCUAGUUGUGAGAUCAUAUGCUGAGAUUACAAGAAGAGAGUAGAUCCUUGAGAAGUUGCUGGAGUGACUAAUAUUAACAGCAAUCAAACAUCAACGGCUAAAAUCACAAAGUUGGAGCACUUCUCAAAUCAUGAAGCCUCACCUGCUAUGGAAACAUUACAACCAACGGCUACAGAAACAUCACCGGCCGGCAGAAGACUAUUCCGAGCAGUGCGCACUCAAAUGGAAACCCCAUAUCAGGCAACGGCUAGCACCUUAAUUUAUGAACCGAUUGUGUAUAUCUCUGUUUAGUAGAAUCCUUCAAGUUCAGGUGUGUUUCAUAAAUAACAAAAGGGACACGUUUUUAUAAA